Pelobates cultripes (western spadefoot toad) is the source of this 265-nucleotide non-coding RNA. The record is from the annotation of a GenBank genome assembly. NCBI's taxonomy places the organism in Eukaryota, Metazoa, Chordata, Amphibia, Anura, Pelobatidae.
UGCAGUCAUCAAAGAUAGAAAUUAAAAUAAGUAUUUCUACAUUUUAAGAAGAAACACUAAACUGUUUAGCACCCUUAAUACUAAAUUAAGGGACACUUAAGCACUAGAACCACUACAGCGCACUAAAAGUGGAUAAGCUGGCAGUUAUGCCAAGGCCUUUUGAAUGGUUUGAUACCUAGGUCCCCUACGUGCACACGGACUGGCUCCUCUUUACAGAUACAGCGAAUGUUGACAUUCUAUUACAUUUAUCAGUUUUGUCCAUUAC